CACCACCCUGAGAGACAGAAGUAAAAUCAGUUGGUGUUUCACCAUUUCUCCAGCACUCGAGACUGAAGCGCACGCAUAAUCAAUACAUUUCUGUUGAAGUGAAGAAACCCCUAGUUGGGUUUUUGCUGCAGAAAACCCAGGGUCAUCACUGUAACUUUGAUACCCUCACUCAGAAGCCUAUCAUGAGGACACUUAGACUAGUUCAAAAGUGACCCAAGCAGGAAUGGGACCUCGAAAGAAGAGAAUGCACAAAAGAGGGCCUCACAAAGGGUCUACCCAAAUAGCAGAGAGUUUCAGGAGCAAGGUGUGGCAGGGGCAGGGGCGUGGAGAUGCCAGACGCUCUCUCAGGUCUCUCUUGCCUGGGGAGAUUAAUGCACUAGGAGCCAGGGCUUGUUUGCAUAGUUGGAGAAAACCACUGUGAAGCCACCGUUUGUUUCCACAGGAAUCAUGGGGCAGAUCCAGUGGUCAUGCCAUCUGUGGGAGGCCAGGAAAGACCUCGCUCCUUAGGAAUCAGGCUCCACAGACCUCUCAGGUCAACCAAGAAAAUGUAAGGAAACUCCCCUCCUGAUGCCCCCAUUUUCACGCAUCUCUCAGGUGAGCCCGGUGAAAGACUUGGGGAGUAGCCCUGUUGUCAUAGGCUGCUCCCCUCAUCCCAGCCUGGUCUGUGGAUAUCUAGUUGCCUUUGGUUGUGGGAUCUGGAGACAUCACAUCGCCUCCUGGUGAAAGGCUCCAAACUCACCCCUCCUCACAGGGAUGAAGCUGGACCAUGCUGACUGAACCCAGGCUGAUGGGGCUUCUGGUAACUCCAAAAGGAAGGCUCCAUGGGGGGAAGGAGGGAGGGUGGGAUGGGCUGGAAUGUGGCAGCGUUUCUAACGUCUCACCAGUUCCUGCCCAGGGCUCAGUGGUGAGGAUGCUAUCUAUCUGCCCCAAAUGGUCACUCCUUAGUAGUUCUGUUCCCAAGAGAAGGCUUUCUUGGCCUCCACCACAGGAAAGACUGCACAGAAGUGGAGUGUAGCCUCUCUAGUUGACUUCACCACAGCUCUUCCUUAGAUGGGCACCUUCCUGGGGGAUGAUGGAGAUGGGGUGGGGGUAAUGACCAUGCUCAUUUGGCUGACAGGAAUUCCAUAUAGACAGAGGUGGGGUAACGUGCCUGAAGCCACAGGCACUCUGGCAGAGCCAGAGACCAGGAGUCACCACCAUGGCUGCAGUCUGUGGUCUUUGUUUCAGAUUCUAAUACCUGAAGUGGCUACAGAACUGGCCUUCCCUGGGAUAGGUUUCAAUGCUCAGAAAUGACCAUGAGUGUUGUUUCCCCUCUAGUGCUAGGAAUGGACUCCAGCAGCACCACAGAAUCACAGCAACAUCUAAGGGAGUCACUGUUUCUUCACAUAUGCUGAACUUUGAAAACAAGUCAUCAUAAUAGCUACAGUUUACUCAGUACCUACACGUGCCAGCCACCAUGCCACCACUUCGCAUAUACUGCCUCUAAAGCCCCUACAAUCCUGAGCUAAGGAUGAUCGUAUCCCCAACUGCAGAUGACAAUGCUGAAGCUCAGAGGCCACUCAACUUGCCUGGAAUCCUACAGCAAGAGAGAAGGCAAGGAUGGUGGAAAGAAUGUAUGUUACCAUGCAACAGGCAAUGUGCUGAUACACGAUCUCAGAAUACUCACAACGACCCUGUGAGGAAGACGCAAUCAUCCCUCUUCCACAGGGGAGGAGACUGAUGCCCGCGGAGGUGCCAGCAUCAAGUGGAGCAUGCGCUGCCCACUGCCAGCUGAGAACACUCAAUGCUCCAAUUGUCUCUAAGGAAAAGAUAUUUAUAAGGAAAGGCUGGAGCCAAAGGCUGAGGGAAGGAUUCCAGCAUCAGGACCCUGCAUGGAUGACUUGGCUGAGACCACGAAGAUCCCUGCUCCAUCCUGAAUGACCUCCACGUACAUCCCCAACCCCCACCGAAGCUGCCAGGCCACUCAGCUCCUCACAUAUUGAACACAGUCCCUAAGGCAGCUUGUGGUAUCCACUUCCACUGGGAAAGACUCAAUGGCUUCCUUCGUCCUGUCUUCAAACUUGUCAUAAAGCAGAUGCCGCUCAAAUCUAACAGCUGCUCUAAGGGCACACUCAAAGGGUGUUCCCUGACCAGUGGGAACAUUCUUCUUGAUAACUGAGAGGCCUUGGGUGACAGGACUACGGCAAGACAAAGACGCAAGCAUGAAAGGGCAUCAAGGGUAAAAUGGCCCUAGGGAAACCACAUGGGACUUGAAUUGGAAAGCACCAAGAGCCUCACUCCUUUCCCUGGAUUGUAUAACUUCAUGAAGUUCUAAUUUGGAGAAGAACUGACUCCUUAUCCACCUGCCACAGAGAAAGUAUUAAUAAAAUAUAAGGCUAGGGUCUAGGAGAAGCGGCCCAGGAAAGCCAUCAUGCAAAUUUUGCUUCCUUCCUACUUAGAGGGUUGGGGACGAGAGGUCCUUCCUUCUCUGGCUCGUAAGCACAUGAGUUGCAUAAAACACUGUCCGAGAAGGCAGAAUAUAAGCCCUCUGUUCUGCAUGAAAUUCAUAUUCUUGAAAGACUUAGCAUAUAAAUCAAAUUUUACCUGCCAGAGAAGCUGGUUUUUCAAAAUAAAUUUGAAGUCAAUCCUAUGUUUAUACA
Long non-coding RNA from Sapajus apella (tufted capuchin), 2639 nucleotides. RefSeq lists it as uncharacterized. The record is from RefSeq and is a predicted model, not a curated record. Lineage: Eukaryota; Metazoa; Chordata; Mammalia; Primates; Cebidae. The transcript has 3 exons.